UACAGAGGGUGCAAGCGUUGCUCGGAAUUAUUGGGCGUAAAGGGUAGGUAGGUGGUCUCAUUUGUCUGGGGUGAAAGCCUUGAGCUUAACUCAAGAAGUGCCUCGGAAACGGUGAGACUAGAGUAUUGGAGAGGGUCGUGGAAUUCCCGGUGUAGCGGUGAAAUGCGUAGAGAUCGGGAGGAACACCAGUAGCGAAGGCGGCGACCUGGACAAUAACUGACACUCAACUACGAAAGCGUGGGGAGCAAACAGG
RNAcentral lists this ribosomal RNA (253 nucleotides) under uncultured bacterium. Its description in RNAcentral is "partial 16S ribosomal RNA". It matches the Rfam family "Bacterial small subunit ribosomal RNA", at positions 524 to 776 of the family's 1533-position model. The record is from RNAcentral.